This 17880-nucleotide long non-coding RNA is filed under the name Nicotiana benthamiana. RNAcentral's name for it is "long non-coding RNA (NBEN_LNC039162)". Lineage: Eukaryota; Viridiplantae; Streptophyta; Magnoliopsida; Solanales; Solanaceae. The record is from RNAcentral.
UCUAAGUUAAAUAACCCUCUCGUACUAUGUGUAUUCCCUUCUCUUCUUCUACCCCUUCUUCACUGUGUGUUCAUGUUCUAUAGCAAGUCCUUUUAUGUUUUUUGCAUCUGCAGUAUAUACGCUUUCUUAUAUUUUAAUGUCAGUGUAUGCUUCCGUAUGGAAAUCCCUUCCCCCUAUUCCCCUUUUAUGUGCUAGUACUGUUAUGAAUCAUGGCAGCAUCUGACAUUGCUGUCCAUGACCUAGAAUCAGACUCUCGUGAGUCUCUACUCAAAUGCUUUCCCACUCCCUCCCCCCUUUUAUGUGUUGAGCUUUAAUUUGGGUAUGGUAGUGUCCUAAUCACCACUCAGACCCUAAGUUUGACUCCUCAGAGUUUGCUCCUAUUUGUUUGACCUGAGAAAAGGGUCAGGGGUGUGCCAGCCUAUGCCAUGGCUGGGUAUGACCACCCUCUACUAUGGUUACCCUUUCACUUUGCACUCAUUCCUAGUUCUUAAGCUCUACCUCCCUUUGGUAAGCCAUGCUUAGGGACCCUGGAGUUCCCUCUGAACUUGGAUGCCUGAGGGUUGGUAAUUUCACACUUGCACAAUUCUGUUACAAUAUUUACUCUUCAGAGUGUAAGCAUUCCCUGUGUUCUUGAAGCUCCCUAGAAUUGUGAAACACUCUGAAUAAGAGAAGACCUUGGAAUAUGAAUCCAGAUUUGGUGACACACAUGUUAUUGGAUAUUGAGAUUGCAUUAAGCAGUUUGGAUCUAGCUGCAGGCUGUGAUGUAUUUUAAUUACUUUCUUCCUUCUUGUUCUGUAAUAAUUCCUUGUAAAAAUAACUGGGGGGUAUAUUAGUAAAUGGUAUGGGAGGGGUUUAUAUUUGCUUGCAUAUGUUAAAGGGUAGAUACCAUGCCUAUAGGAUCAAUAUUGUUGUUUAAUUACUUAGAUACCAUGCUUGUAGGAUUCAUGUUGCAAUUCAAUCAUUUAGAUAUCAUGCCUAUAGGUUUUUUAAUGUUUGAACUCGAUCACUUAGAUAUCGUGCCUAUAGAUUUAAUGCAUAUCACACAAUCCGGUCAUAUGGAAAUUUCGCCUAUAAGGUGUAAUAUUCAGUCAUAUUGCAAUUCAUUAGAAAUCAUGCCUACAGGACUUAAUAUUCAUGCAAAUCGGUUGCAUAUAGAAAUCAUGUCUAUAGGUAAUGCAUACGCGUAGGCAAAAUUGUACGAUAACCAGGCAUGCCACUUAUUUACCAACUCCGUAAUAAGUUUUAAAAUCCAGAAUAAGUCUGUAUCGCUUAAUCUGUUUAAGUAAUAAUAACUGGGUAACUAGUUUAACGUGCCAGUGUCAUGUUUUCAAUACAUAACUCUUAUGAGCAUGCAAUUUUUUUUUAAAGUUUCUGCAAAUCUGUCCGAAGCAGUUCUUUAAAAUUUUCUGUUCAAAACAAUCCUUUAGUUCUUUCUUUCUUUUAAAGGUAUUUUGCAUUUUUUACAACUCUCAUGUGUUUUCACUCAAACAAAUCUGCAGAUUCCAAAGUCAUUGCUGAACUUCUGCAAUUUUCAACUUCCUAUUUAAAUUCUUAUGCAUUAGGGUUUUGUCUGAAAUCAAUUAUUUUUAAAUAGUUCGUUUAAAACACUCCAAUUCCUAACAAUUGGAUUCGAGAUUCCUAAUGCAGAACUUUUAUCUAAUUCUACGUGUUAAACCGGUCCGUCCGCCGCUUAUGUUUUAAUUUUAAGACCAAACUAGUAUGUGUAAGGCAUGCUUAACUAAAUCUAAUUUACGGGGUUUUAUGUGAGCCUUGCAUGUUUGUUUGUUAAUCCCCUUACUUUAUAUUUUUUUUGGUUGUCGAAACUAGUAUUUUGUCCUUUUAAACCCCAUAUAUGCCUCUACCCUUUUCUUUCCCUUUAGGAUUAGAAGUCUUAGUACCCCGGGACUGAUAGGUUGGGACGAGUACUAGCAUGCGAUAAGUAAACGAGACUCAUCGCAUUUAAAUACCUUAAUGGGGUGGUAAGGGUAGAAUAUGGAUAUGAUGACUGGUGCAUUAAUAUCUCGUGUGAGAAUGAUUGCUGGGUAUUGCACCAAAGUGAUCCAUAUUAUAUUUAAACCUAGGACCCCUUUCUUCUUUAUAUGAUGUGAUGUCUUCUUUUAAAAAAUUUAAUGUUUUUCUUCAAUCAUUUUUUGGGUAAGCCCUUAUGUCCUUUUUCUUUCUUUUAUUUUAAAACUUUCAAUUUACUUAUAUUCCUUAUGUGCAAACAUUGUUUGUUUAUUUCUGCCGAGAUAAUCUCAACCACACUAGUGGAUCUUGAGGGGUGUCUAAUACCUCCCCCCGAGAUAAUCUCAAGUCCUUAUCCAAACUCUGGUCUUCCUUCAAAAUCUUCUUCUUUUCUUUAAGUGUCCAAUGCACUAUAAUCAUUAGGUGGUGACUCUUCAAAAUCCAUAACCCAAUUCCUCAAAAGGGAAUAAGAGUUGUUUUGUCCAUAAUGUCGUAAACCCAAUUUCGCUCUUUUGGGGGAAAAAAUGGGGGUGUCGACAGCAUGGAGACUCUGCUGGGGAUUUAUUUAAGGCUUUUACCAUUAUGUGAUUUUGUGACUUUAUCGCUUCCUCAAUUGACUUUAUUUUCUCGCCUUUAAUCAUUUCAUCAUGAAUACUAACUCGGCUCGUCAUGUUUUUCUUUCCUUUCUCUUUCUUUUACCGCCUUAUUAUUAUUAUUUCAAUUCCGAGCAUUUAUUGUAAUCUUUACUUUAUGAAUGCGAAAAUACAUGCAAUUUGCUUUAUUAUUGUAACUGCAUUCCUCAACAUCAUAUUCCACUCGUGCCAAAACAAAUCCUAUAGCAAUGCUUAUAAUGAGUGGUUGCGCCAUUCUGAUAUUAUAACCCACAAAUGUGGCAAAGGCAUAUUUGCGGUAAAACCAGUUGAUCAACGAUGUAGUCGACGGUUCCGCGACUCUCCCUCUUGAGUUGUCCGCUCAAGGGUACCUUGUCUAGCACUUCAAAAGUAGAAACCUUAUUCCAUUAAAAUGUUCAUGCAUCAUGGUCAAACCUAGUCGAGUCAAUUAUUUUUUCCACAUAAUGACUCAUCAAGAUAUCCUAAAUCAAAGUCCACACCAUUUCCUCGGAACCCAAACAGACACCUCCACGUUAUGUGCAUUUAUUUGGAGAACUAAAUGCCUUAUUGCUAAUUAUUGAUUUAAAAAGUCGAGUCUGGUGGGGUUAAGGGCCUAACACUUUGUUUUGCAGAAAAUGAGGCACGUAGUCCCCAAAUUCGGUAUGGUAUCCAACAUUCACCCAAGGUUGUUAAAUUGGUGGGAGGAUCUUCAUGCUAGUGAUCAGACCCUCGUCCGCAAAAACUUAGGAGACCUUCCUUCACUUUUGGAAGUUAAGCCUGACAACAAGAUUAUCGAAGCUGCUACUUUAUUCUAGGAUAGUGAUAGGUCGAUUUUUUGCUUCGGGGACCUCGAAAUGACCCCUCUACUGGAAGAAAUAGGGGGUCUAGCCAGAAUACCUUGGGAGACUCCGGGUCUAAUUAUGCCCGAAAAUCGCAAAGGAAGGUGUUUUCUGAAAAUGAUGGGACUUAAGAAGAAUCCUGAUCUGACUUGUCUAAAGGAGUCUUACAUACCAUUUGUCUCCUAUUUGAAAGGUUUGGCCAGAACAAGUCUUACCUCACCUACCAUGAUGAGUUCGCCCUUACAUCUUUGGGGCACAUACAUAGGAGGGUCUUUGUGUUCAUGUUUUGCUACUUGGGUAUGAUAAUCUUUCCCAUGAAGAAGGUUAGGAUCCACACCAGACUAUCCAGGGUUACCAAAACCUUGAUGGAGGGUAUUGAUGGGCAAUAUUUCAGCAUAGUGCCCAUGAUAAUUACCGAAAUGUAUCGAGCUUUGGGGAAAUGUCAACAAGGAGCCCCAUACUUUGAAGGGUGUAAUCUGUUACUUCAACUUUGGCUCAUAGAAUAGCUUCAUAAAGGCAACUAUACACAGAAAAUCAUACGCAGGGAUUGGGAUGACCAUAUCGCUUUUCACCACCUAAAGCGAAUGAUUUUCAUGCCCAACAUGUUUGCUCAGCCAGAGGACGACAGUGGAUGGGUAGAGUUGUUCGAAAAUCUAAAAGAAGAGCAAGUUCAGUUGAUGUUCGAGUGGUUCCCAACAUGGGAGUUCAUUGUCCGUUCUCGAGAUGCACCAUUACUCAUACUCAUCGGUCUGAGGGGAGCUCAUCCUUAUGUCUCUCUCCGGGACAUGAGGCAAGCUGGAAGAAAGCAGAUCAUACCAAGGAUAGAGAAAAUGAGUCAUUUCAGGGCUGACUUUCAAGAUGAUGAUAACCCGCACAGGUGUCAAGCUCAGCAUAUGUGACACUGCAAGCUCAUCUUAUGGAAGGAGUCUAUUGAACCAAACAUGUAUAAUGCCGGGUGUAUACCGCACUACACAUGUUGGUUGGAAGAUGAUCACAUUGGUUUGGGUCAUCCAGGGUUUGUCCAUGGUCAUAGGCUUAUUGAUGAGAAAACUGAAUCACAAGUCAAAUAUAAUUAGCUGCGCAAGAGGAUGCGAGAAUGUGAGAAUGAACAUCGGGAAAUACAGGAAGCCCACGAGAACCUGAUCAACGAGUGGAAGGAUAUGGCUAUCAAUGCCAACAAUCGGCUGGGGUAUCUGGAGCGAGGUCCAGUGGGAUUGGAAGGGAAGUUCUUGAAGAGAAUUGAAGAUUGUCAGAAUGCCGAUGGAGGUGCAGGCGGACAUCUGGCCCAAGCCUAUCUGUUUUUAGGACUGCGCGAGUAGAUGCAGCUGUACGAGGGAGGCAAGAGUACCAAAUCUAGGGAAAGUCCUUCUGAGACCAAGUAGUUAGGAUCCUUUAUUUCCUGCUUUCAUAAUGUAAUAAGGCCGCUGGCCAUUAGUGAUAUUUUUAUUAUGCAGCUGUUUUAAGACUCGUCUUGUUUUUAUCAAUAAAAUGAGGUAUUUAACAUUAUAAGUUCCCCAAAUAUAAUUUGUUCCUAGGCCUACCUCGGGCACAACGAGGCACCCAAAUUAGGAAACGACUUAUAUUAUUGCACAACGUGUUUAAAUAUCGCAAUACUAUUCCUCAGAACCUGCAUUAACUUUUUACCUUUGUCAUUUUUCUUUUAUUUUUAUUCCCCUACCCGAAGGUUAGUUCGUGCAUUCCGGCACCAGCAACAUACGCAACAAGAUCCAAGGGUCCUCCACAUCCUCCUCCUCCGAGUCCUACCAUAAACAAGAACAAAGGCAAAAUGGGAGAUGCAAAUGCUAGAAAGUAACUCGAGGAAACUUCUUAAAAUGCUGCAAUUAACAAGGAGACUGGUGCUCAUCUUGAGCAAACUUUGCUUAGAUUUCGAGAGCAAUUGGAACAAGUCCGGAACCUAGCCAGACUGUCAAUCACUCUUGCCGCCCCUGAUGUUAACGCUCAGAAUCCCAUACCUCCACAAAAUACCCCACAACCACCGAUACAACCCACUUAUGCCCAAGCCGGCAACAUAUGCAACAACACUCCAUUAGUCAUUCCCGAAUCCCAAAACACCACCAACGACCACACCCAUAACAAUCCCAUCUUUGUGGACACUAUACCCUACUACACUCAGCCCGAAUCAGAUGACAAGGACUCCCUUAUUCAGAAUUUGGCCACUGAAUUCAAGAAGUUAACUAGCCGGGUCCAAGGUGUCGAAGGUAGCAAAGGUGUUAAAGGGUUGAACUAUGAAGAUCUUUGUGUUCAGCCUGAUGUUGAGCUUGUGGAAGGGUACAAACUUCCCAAGUUUGAGAUGUUCGAUGGUACAGGUGAUCCCAAUGUCCAUCUGAGAAUGUAUUGUGAUAAGCUGGUAGGAGUUGUAAGGGACGAGAAAAUCCACAUGAAGCUAUUCGUGAGGAGUCUGAAAGGCGAUGCCUUAUCAUGGUAUAUUUUCCACGAUGCAAAGAAAUGGAAAAGUUGGGUGAACAUGGCGUUUGACUUUAUGGACCGAUUUAGGUUCAAUACUGAGAACACACCAGAUGUGUUCUAUAUCCAGAAUCUAAAGAAGAAACCCACAGAGACCUUUCACGAGUAUGCUACUCGUUGGAGGUCAGAAGCUGCGAAGGUCAGGCUAGCCCUGGAGGAAGAGCAGAUGAACAGGAUCUUUGUCCGGGCUUAGGAUCUGCAAUACUAUGAGAGGCUAAUGCUGAUAGAAGGACAGAAAUUCUCUGUCAUCAUCAAGUACUAAGGUUAGGCCGGCCUUGGAGGAAGAGCAGAUGAACAGGUUCUUUGUCGGGGCUCAGGAUCCGCAAUACUAUGAAAGGCUGAUGCUAAUAGAGGGUCAAAAGUUCUCUGACAUCAUCAAGUUGGGNNNNNNNNNNNNNNNNNNNNNNNNNNNNNNNNNNNNNNNNNNNNNNNNAAGUUCUCUGACAUCAUCAAGUUGGGAGAAAGGAUCGAAGAAGGCAUCAAAAAUGGUAUGGUCACUAACCUCGAGGCAUUGCAAGCUACCAACAAGGUUUUACAGUCUGGUGGCUCGUUAAAGAAAAAGGACGUAAAUUCUGUAAUGCUUGCGCAAAGGAACAAUUCCCCUAUGAAGUACCAAACAUAUCCCUCAACUCCACUCACAUAUCAACCCACCAUAAAUUACCAAGUACCCUCACCUACAUACCAAAUGCCACCAUCUACCUACCAAUUACCUCCACCGCCGACAUAUCAACCCACUUCACCAAGAUAUUUCCAACCCGCACAUGUGUACCAAACAUACAACUCCCAACCUUCUCAUUACCCAUCACCACCCAUUCGCCAAAACUUUCCUCGACCUAGACCAAAUUUCGACCGAAGACCUCCAAGACAGUAUACCGCCAUAACCAAGCCAAUUGACCAAUUAUAUGAAAAACUCAAAGUAGCCGAUUACAUUUCACCUAUACCAGCCACAACUCCAGAAAAUCCUUCCCAAUGGAUCAAUCCCAACAAAAUCUACGCAUACCAUUCCGGAAUGAAAGGCCAUACCAUCGGUGAGUGUUGCUCGUUGAAAGACAAGAUUCAGACUUUGAUUAAUAACAAGGUCAUUAUAGAAUAUGAGUCUGCUCCCAAUGUUCGCAACAACCCUCUGCCUGACCACAAGGGUGGGGGCAUAUAUAUGAUCGAGAUUGAGGAUGAUUGGGACCCCAAAGGGUCAAUUGGGUUGAUUUCUGAGGGGGAAGAGCUAAGAAGCGGGUGGUUACCCUCAAUCCAAUUGUUGUUCGGAUCCUGCCCUCUGAGCGCAAUGUGGUAAAUGUGUCUGUAAUACUCGAGUUUGAAGUGCCUUAUGCAAAGGCGCCAGAACCCAUCGAACUUGAGUUUGGUAUCCCAAAAGCACCUGCACCAUUUGAAGUUACUGUGUUACCUCCAAGGAUGCCUAUUCCGGUUUCCAUGACAGAUGUGACCCCGUUCAAGUCGAACUCCAUACCUUGGGAUUACACAGCUGAGGCUAGAAGGAAAGGAAAAACAUAUACUAGAGAAGCAAUCGCCGCGUAGGGCAUGGUCACGACAGGCAGGGAAUACACCCCAGAACAUUUAGUUGAGUCCAGCAAGCAAGACUCUGGACGGCCUAUUGAAACUGGACCCGAUGACCUUUGGAGGAAGAUACAGGCCAAAUAGUACUCAGUCGUUGAGCAACAGAACAAGAUACCAACGCAGAUUUCCAUUUUGGCUCUUCUGCAAAGCUCCGAGGCGCAUAAAAAUGCCUUAAUGAAAAUAUUGAGUCAAGCUUAUGUUCCCAUCAACAUAACAGGAGGCGAAAUGAAAAAUAUGGUGGGGCAGGUACUGGAAAGCCAUAAAAUCACCUUCCACGAGGGCAUUGCACAUCACUGCGCACUACGAAGAUCAUUUCGUCACCAGGAUCCUGGUCGACGGGGGAUCUAGCCUUAGCAUUUACCCACUAAUAACCCUCAGGACAUUAGGUAAGGAUUUGCACGAAAUAAAAGAUAAAGUAAUCAAUGUCAAGGCUUUUUAUGGGUCUCAAAGAUCCACCAUUGAAGAAAUUAGCUUGUGCUUGCAGAUGGGACCUACCUGGUUCGAUGUUGACUUCCAAGUCAUAGGCGUGCCAGCAUCUUACAAUUUAUUGCUGGGACGACCCUAGAUCCAUGUCGCUGGGACUGUGGCAUCAACCUUGCAUCAAGCUAUAAAGUUCGAAUGGAAUCAUAAGGAAAUGAUCAUUCCCGGCGACGGCAGUAACCCUAUAUACAAUCGCCAAACAAUCCCGAUGAUCGAAGGUAGAAGGAGAAUAGGUAGAGAAACGUAUCACCACAUCGAGCGGGUAAACGCCAUGGACAAAGACAAGUGGUGGGAUAACAAAAUUGAGAGAAUUCUGAAUUGGAGUGGGUACAAGCCCGAAAAGGGACUUGGCAAGAAUCUCCAGGGCAUCACCAAGCCAUCAAGUUAAAGAAGCAUGGUGCCACUUUCGGCCUGGGGUAUGAGUACACUUGGGAGGAGUUAAAUCAUUGGUCGCCACCAUGGUGCAGCCCCUACCAUCCACUGGAGCACCCCAUACCUCAAAUGGAGCAGACCUUUCAGUCGGCUGACAUUAUAUAUGGAUCAGAGGAAGACGAGGCUCUGGCAGUGAUAAAGAACCUGUUUCAGAGGAUAAUAUGGAUUGUUGUGUUAUCUUAGAGGAGGAGGGGGGAGAAGGCCCUUCCAUUCAAGCUGUGAACCUGGGAGAACGACUCACAAAUCGGUCAGUCAGGACCACCAGUACCCGGAGAGCAUCGGGGUAGCAACGCUAAAUGAUGCACUAUGCAUCGCAUUUUACUUUUUAGGUGAUUUUACUUUUCCGCAUAAUCUUUACUUCUGAAAGGAGCUCCGAUGUUUCGAACAGUAUGAAUUUAAUCAAAAUCUCCAAGUUUAUUUUUUAUAUCUCGCUCUUAUUACCUUUCUCUAUCCUUUAUUUUAUUUUGCACAACAUUACUAUUACAUAUCUUGAUGAUGAACCAACGAUUACGACUUGAAAUGAGGCAAUGCAUCAAAUGGACAUAGAUUCAGAAGAGGAUGAAAUACCAGAAGAGGUUGUUAGGGAGGUCGGGAAUUUUGUGAACAAGCCUAAGUCUAAUUUGGACGAAACUGAGGUUCUUAAUUUGGGAGUAUGUAGAACGUCAAGGAAAUGUUUAUCAACGUACACUUGUCGCCGUCAGAAAAGAAAGACUACACAGAGUUCCUAAAAGAGUAUGAGGACAUCUUUGCAUGGUCUUAUGAUGACAUGACAGGUCUCAACACAUCCAUUUUGGCUCACAUGUAACCAUCAGAUCCGGCAUACCCGCCAGUAAAAGAGAAGCUCAGAAAAUUCAAGCCAGACAUGAGUUUGAAAAUCAAACAAGAAGUUACCAAGCAAGUCAAAGCCAGGGUUCUCAGGGUGGUAGAGUAUCCAAAAUGGUUAGCCAACAUCGUACCAGUACUUAAGAAGGAUGGGAAAGUUAGAGUCUGUGCCGACUACCGGGAUCUUAACCGGGCCAGUCCUAAGGACGACUUCCCUUUGCCAAAUAUACACAUAUUGAUUGACAACUGCGCCAAACAUGAGUUGUAGUCGUUCGUUGAUUGUUUUGCUAGAGACCAUCAGAUAUGGAUGGAUGAAGAAGAUGCAGAGAAAAUGACGUUCAUCACGCCGUGGGGGAUGUGCUAUUACAGAAUGAUGCCGUUCGAUUUGAAGAAUGAUGGUGCUACCUACAUGAGGGCCAUGACCACUAUCUUUCAUGACAUGAUACAUAAAAACAUUGAGGUGUAUGUGGAUGACAUCAUCAUCAAGUCUAGGAAAGCUAGAGAUGAAGAUUUGAGAAAGUUCUUCAACAGAUUGAGGAGAUACAACUUGAAACUGAAUCCCGCCAAGUGUGCAUUCGGGGUCUCUGCCGGAAAGUUAUUGGGUUUCAUUGUAAGUUGUUGGGGAAUAGAAUUGGAUCUAUAAAAGGUCAAAUCCAUUCAAGAGUCGUCACCACCAAAGAACAAGAAGGAUAUAAUGAGUUUUCUGGGAAGACUCCACUAUAUCACCCGGUUCAUAGCUUAGUCCACUGUCAUUUGUGAACCUAUCUUUAAGAUGCUAAAGAAGGAUGUCACCACUAAAUGGACCGAUGAUUGUCAAAAGGCUUUCGACAGAAUCAAAGAGUACUUGUCAACGCCACCGGUCUUGGUUCAGCCUGAACCUGGGAGACCCCUAUUAAUUUAUCAUACAGUAGUGGAUGGAGCGUUUGUUUUGUCUUAGGACAACAUGAUGAAACCGGAAGAAAGGAGCAAGCCAUCUACUACCUCAAAAAAAAGUUUACCCCGUACGAGGCUCGGUAUCCUUAUUAGAGCGCACCCGUUAUGCUCUGACUUGGGUAGCUCAGAAAUUGAGGCACUAUUUCUGUGCUUACACCACUUAUCUCAUAUCCAGAAUGGACCCGCUAAAAUAUAUCUUUCAGAAGCCCAUGCCUACCGUCAAGCUUGCCAAAUGGAAAAUCUUGUUAAGUGAGUUUGACGUUAUUUAUGUUACCCAGAAGGCAGUCAAGGGACAAGCUUUGGCAGAUCAUCUCGCCGAGAAUCCAGGGGGAGGAGAAUGCGAACCUCUAAAGAUGUAUUUUCCCUAUGAAGAGGAAGGUUUCAUAGGAGAAGACAUUGCAGAAUCAUAUGAUGGUUAGAGAAUAUUUUUCGAUGGAACCGCAAAUUUUAAAGGAGUUGGCAUAGGGGCAGUCCUGGUAUCAGAAAUCGGUCAGCACUACCCAGUAUCCACCAAACUCAGAUUCCCAUGCACCACCAAUAAUGCCGAGUACGAAGCCUCCAUCUUAGGGCUUAAACUGUCCAUCGACAUAAACAUUCAGGAGUUACUAGUGAUCGAAGACUCGGACCUACUCAUACAUCAGAUUUGAGAGGAAUGGGCAACCUAGAAUUCUAAGAUACUCCCUUAUCCACAUCCCAUACAGGAGUUGAGAAAGAGGUCCAGAAAGACAGAAUUCCAACAUGUUCCAAGAAUACAGAAUGAGUUCGCCGAUACACUAGCCACUUUGUCAUCCAUGAUUCAGCAUCCGGAUACAAAUUUCAUCAAUCCCAUCCUGGUCAAGAUUCAUGACCAACCAGCUUAUUGUGCUCACGUUGAGGAAGAAGCCAACAGAAAUCUAUGGUUCCAUGACAUCAGGGAAUACUUGACGAUGGGAGAAUACCCAGAACUUGCCAAUACUACUCAGAAGUGUGCGCUCCGAAGUUUAUCCAAUAACUUCUUUCACAACGGAGGAAUCAUGUAUAAGAGAACUCCUGAUUUGGGUGUACUAAGGUGUGUCGAUGCAAGGGAUGCAACCAAGCUAUUUGAUAAAGUGCACGCCGGGACCUGCAGACCGCACAUGAAUGGUUUUGUUUUAGCAAAGAAAAUACUCCGAGCAGGAUAUUUUUGGAUCACUAUGGAAACGGACUACAUCCAGUAUAUCUGAAGGUGCCAUCACUGUCAGAUACAUGCAGAUAUGAUGAAAGUACCUCCAAAUGAGCUUACUACAACAAGCUCACCAUGGCCGUUCGUCGCUUGGGGAAUGGAUGUUAUUCGACCAAUCGAGCUUGCGACAUCAAACGGGCACAUGUUCAUCUUAGUGUCAAUUGAUUACUUUACCAAAUAGGUUGAAGCAACAUCAUACAAAGUAGUGACCAAGAAAGUUGUAACAUAUUUUGUCCGCGGCCGUAUUGUUUGUCGGUUCGGAAUUCUUGAAUCAAUCAUCACUGACAAUGGUUCCAAUCUUAACAGCAACCUGAUGAAAGCAAUGUGUGGGACUUUCAGGAUCAAACAUAUGAACUCUACAGCUUACAGACCAUAGAUGAAUAGAGCUGUGGAAGCAGCCAAUAAGAAUAUCAAGAAGAUACUAAUAAAUAUGAUUGAAAGGCACAAGCAGUGGCACGAGAAAUUGUCGUUCGCCUUAUUGGGUUAUCGUAUUAUGGUCCGCACAUCAACCAAGGCCACACCCUACAUGCUGGUUUAUGGUACAGAGGCGGCCAUUCCCGCCGAAGUGGAAAUUCCCUCCUUAAGAAUUAUUCAAGAAGCAGUGUUAGAAGAUGCAGAAUGGGUACAAAGUCACUACGAACAAUUAGCCAUUAUAGAUGGAAAAAUAAUGAAUGCAGUUUGCCACGGUCAAUUAUAUCAGAACAGAAUGUCCAGAGCCUUCAACAAAAGAGUUUAUCCAAGGAAGUUCACGCCAUGGCAGCUGGUAUUGAAGAAAAUAUUUUCGCAUCAAGAUGCAGCCAAGGGAAAAUUCUCUCCUAAUUGGCAGGGUCCGUAUAUGGUACAUAGGGUUCCAACUGGAGGAGCCCAUAUUCUCGCAGAAAUGGACGGAGAAGUUUGGCCGAAGCCGAUCAACUUAGACGCAGUAAAGAGACACUACAUUUGAUCACAUGUUUUUCUUCAUGAUGUAAUUUGAACUACGCCUGACCUGAUUCCCGUUUAAGAGGGGAUACGUNNNNNNNNNNNNNNNNNNNNNNNNNNNNNNNNNNNNNNNNNNNNNNNNNNNNNNNNNNNNNNNNNNNNNNUUGAACUACGCCUGACCCGAUUCCCGUUUAAGAGGGGAUACGUAGGCAGCCCUAUGGGUUCGGUAAUAUUUUAAUAAAAUUUCCAUUUUCCCUCGCUAUUAGAACUGAGGUAGAAUUUUGAGAAGGACCCUCAAAAUUCCGAUGUCAGUUGUCAGCUUUCGCAUUAGCACCAACCCAAUAAACUGGGGCAGAAUUUUGAAGGAGGUCCUCAUAAUUCUGGAAUAAACCUGGGUUCAGUCAUUCAGCACAUCCGUCAGCAGCGCCAGCCUAGUAGACUGGGGUAGAAUUUCGAGGAGGACCCUCAAAAUUCUGGGACAAGCGAGGUUGCCGUGUCUUUGAACCACGUUGCAAUUGUCGAUUUAUCCAAAAUAAAAUCAUUUUCCAAAAUAUAUACUUACAUUAUAUUUACUAAAUCGUGCAUAGAUAUCACUUGCAUCUAGUCGUUUAGCAACGCUACCCUAAUGAUACCUGAGGUCAAAAGUCAGGGGAUAUGAACUAACCUUUCCCCUCUACAGAACUCAUGAUUUUUCUUUGAAUGCAGGCACCCCAGGUCGCAAAUUAUUGAGUACAUUCACUCACUCAUACUCUUCAGGAUUGAAGAACAAUCGCUCGUUUGCAAAGUUACUAUCUACACGUAACAUUCCCAGCAGCCACGAUAUCACAAUUAGCUGUCAGCUAAGAAAAUCUCAUUACUAUUCACUAUUUACAUUUCCUAUAUUUUGCAUAAGGCUACUUAUCUGCCUUUUGAGACUAAGCUCUGUCUCCAUCCGUAUUUUUCAUAAGGCUAUUUUCUGCCUUUUGAGGUUAAGCUCUACCUCCAUUCUGCAUAAGGUUACUUAUCUGUCUUUCGAGACUAAGCUCUGUCUCCAUCCACAUUUUUGCAUAAGGCUGCCUUUCGAGACUAAGCUCUGUCUCCAUCCGCAUUUUGCAUAAGGCUAUUUUUUUCCUUCCAAAGUUAAGCUCUACCUCCAUUCUGCAUAAGGCUACUUAUCUGCCUUUCGAGACUAAGCUCUGUCUCCAUAUGCAUUUUUUGCAUAAGGCUACUCAUCUACCAUUUGAGACUAAGAUCUAUCUCCAUCUGCAUUGCAUAAGGCUAUCUUCUGCCUUUCGAAGUUAAGCUCUACCUCCAUCCUGUAUAAGGCUACUUAUCUGCCUUUCGAGACUAAGCUUUGUCUNNNNNNNNNNNNNNNNNNNNNNNNNNNNNNNNNNNNNNNNNNNNNNNNNNNNNNNNNNNNNNNNNNNNNNNNNNNNNNNNNNNNNNNNNNNNNNNNNNNNNNNNNNNNNNNNNNNNNNNNNNNNNNNNNNNNNNNNNNNNNNNNNNNNNNNNNNNNNNNNNNNNNNNNNNNNNNNNUAAUCUUUGUCUCCAUCUGCAUUGCAUAAGGCUAUCUUCUGCCUUCCGAGGUUAAGCUCUACCUCAAUCCUGCAUAAGGCUACCUAUCUGCCUUCCGAGACUAAGCAUUGUCUCCAUCCUGCAUGGCUGAAAUAUCAUCACUUUUUAUUCUUCGAACGGCUGAAAUAUCGCCACUUGCAUUUUAAAGUCUCCCUCUGGCUAAAAGAUCACCACGCUUUGCAUUCAUUUGGCUGAAAGAUUGCCACUUUCUCAUGGGCUGAAAGAUCACCAACAUAUUCAAUUGCGUCAUAGUUCGGAGGCACCAUCUACAUAGCCCGAGAACAUCAUUUCAUGGCAUCCGAAUCCUUUACCUUUAUGCUCUUCAUGGCCUGGGACAUCAUAGUUUGAGGACGUCAUCCUAACCGCCCGAAGAUAAUAUUCAUCGUCCUAACGGGAACUUGCAUCAUGUAUUAAUUAUGCACAACACACACUACAUUGCUAAUUUAUAAGUACACUGGCUAGCAAAUGGCUGUCUCAAUAGAAACGCUCCCGCUCCGAUUCUCCCCAACUGUUCGACUUCACAAUCUUUCUCAAACUAGACCAUCGCGCCCAUUUUUUCUAAUCCCCCGUCAUUAGUUCCUGAACUAUAUAUGGCCUGAUUCCUGUAAAACCAGGGAUACGUAAGCAGCUCAGAAAUCAGAGCACGGUCAAUUCUUUUACAAUCGCUGAUUCCGGCCAAAAUUAGUCAUCUUAUCUUUACCCGGCAACUCUUUCAUCCUCCUCGGGAGAGGGGCAGCUGUUGAUACCCAAUUUUUCCCUAUAUACUUUUAUACUUAAAAUAGUUUCAAAAUGUCAUGUAUAUGCAUAUACAAGCAUCUCCAAAGGUUGGGGUAUUUUCCUUAAUUUUUUGAAGAUUUUUAUAAUCAAGUUAUUGUCUAUUUUAACGACAUAAAACUCAAUAAUUAUUCCCAAAAUUAUUAUCUAUGUGAGCCAUUUAUUUUCCACCCAUAUAUUUGCACCAAAUAUAAUCAAUGUGAUUUUAUCAUAAUUUUAUUAAUUUAUUUGAUAUUUUUAAAGCUAAAUUACUCAAAAUUGCAAUUAUAGCCAAUGUUAUAAAUAAUCGUGUUUUAUAAUUAUAAAAUUAUUCUAAAUAUUUUUAUAUUAAUUUUUAUAUAUUAUUAACUAGUUCUGUGCUUUCAAUUUGUUUUAAAACUAUUUUAAACUAUUUUAAUUAAUUAAAAGGGAAAAAGGUGGCUAUUUAGAAGCUGGCUCAUCUCCAUUUCAAUUAUGGCCACAUUUGGACCACAAUUCUCACCCCAAUCCAGCCCCAAUUAAAUGACCCAAUUUUGAUUUUACCCGCCCCAAACAAAAUUCAAUCCAACCCGUCUGGUUCCACCAUUCAAUCCUGGUCGUUGAUCAUUUUGAUCAAUGGCCCACGCUUCUUCUUACCUUUUUUAAUCCCCAAUUACCCCUAACCCUAUUCACUUCUCCAAACCAGCCUCCCUCAAAUUCCCUUUUCUCUCAAAUGCUCUCUAAACCCUAGCCGCCUACUUUCGUCUCUGAUAAAAAAUCCACUGGCGUCCAUGGCUUCUCAGGCCAUGAACAUCCUAUAUUCUCUCCCCUUUCACUCCAAGCCAUGAUUAUUCGAGUUUUUAAGGCUCAACCUUCAACAGACCUGUUCAGGUCCUCCGCCGACCUGAGCUCCUUUGGCUUCUCCGGCUCCGUUCCGGUGUGUUGGAGCUCUGAAAAACUUAUCCAUGGUCUAGAUUCAUUCAGAGACCAGACCAUUCCAGGCCUUCCCAUCUUUACAGUUUCUGAUAAACCCUAAAAAUCUUGAUUCGAGGUUUUUCUUUUCUUGUUUUCUUAGAUCUAUAGCAUAUAUGUGCUCUAUUUUGUGUUUUAACGAUUUCCCCUAAUUUCCUUCUUAAAAUUAGUCUGUUUAAAUUAGAGUUUUCAAAAAUCCUAAAAACGAUUCUUCUUCUUCUUUCUUUGUGAAAAUCUGUGUGUUCGUGCCACGCUUUAGGGGUUUUCAUUUGUUUCCUGUGAUUUGCUCUUAAUAUGCUUGCUCCUCUGCCUUUCUUCUAUCACUACUUCUACUGAUUUUUCUAUAAGUAAUUCUUGCCUGCCAUUUUUACUAUUUCCCCUACUGAAAGUGUUUACUUUUACUGUAUUUAUUUGGUUUAUGAACUUGCUUCUUUACUGCUUCCUAAAUUUCUAUGGCAUCUCCUCUGUGAAUUGUUUUGAUUUGAGUUUUUCUAAAGAACUUGUUCUUCACGAACUUUGUCACUCUAUUGUUUCUAAUUGCAACGUAUGAUUUCCCUGGGCUUAUUGUGAGAAUUUUCUUUCUCUUUUGUGUGUCCUACUCGGACUAAAACCAGGUGUCUAGGAUUCUUGCGAGCUUUUGGUUUUAGGGUUCUACCCCUAGAAACCCUAUGCUCUCAAACUCAUGUUAAGUUCAUAGAUUGGAUUGGAACUUUCUUUUCCUUUGCUUAUGAUUCAAAAACUAUUUAUGCUGAUAUCUUCUUCCUUACUUUAUGUUAGCAUGCUUAUAUACGAAGAUUUUUCUUCUGAAUUGAUUCUGUUAGCUUGUGAUUGAUUUCAAUCCUCUUUUACUAAGGAUCGAUUGAUUUGCUACUGAUUUUUACAACUCAGCCUUUUCCCUAUUUUCCUGACUAAGUUCAUUUAAGGUUUUUGAAUUUCCGACUGUUUGAAUAUUUUAUUUCCUUAUUCUUUCAAAAACUUAUAUAAUAGUUUCCUUUCUUAAAUAGAUUUUGUGUGCACCUGCCAUUUAUUUUGUUACACUGAAAGGUUUUUCCUUCCUUAAUUACCACUCCCGUUUGAAAUCAAAUCCCUUUGACUAAGGGAGAUUUUAUUUGAUUGACUGACUUUUUAUUUCCUUGCCUUCUUGUCUACUCAUUUUUUCACUAUAAAAGCUCACAGCACAUACAAGUUUCACACAACAAGUUUUUACACAAACACUCGAAUACAACUCAGUUCUCAAAAUUUUUUCUGCACCUUUACAAUACAUUAUCACCCCUGUCUUGCUUUACUAUUUUUUCUACUACUACUACCUUCUCUACUGCUACUGAGCACUCUUCUCCUUUAUCUCCUAUUGUCUAAAUAUUUCUGGAGUUCUUCUGAACUCCCAAGUACUUGCUGAAGUUUUCUGCUAACUAUCUGGAUGUCUACUUGCUCUUGUUCCUCUGGUGUACUAGAACUAAAAAAAUUGGUAUCUACUUCUAAGUUAAAUAACCCUCUCCUACUAUGUGUAUUCACUUCUCUUCUUCUACCCCUUCUUCAUUGUGUUUUCAUGUUCUAUAGCUUGUUAUUCUAUGGCUUUGCCUCUGCAGUCUGCUAUCCUUUCUUAUAUUUUUAGUGUCAGUGUAUGCUUCUGUAUGGAAAUCCCUUUCCCCUAUUCCCUUUUUGUGUGCAAGGUCCUUCUAUGUUUUUCGCAUUUACAGUAUGCUAUGCUUUCUUAUAUUUUAAUGUCAGUGUAUGCUUCUGCAUGGAAAUUCCUUCCCCCUAUUCCCCUUUUGUGUGUACUGUUCUGAAUUAGGCAGCAUCUGACAUUGCUUUCCAUGAUCCAGAAUCAGACUCUCCUGAGUCUCUACUCAAAUUUUUUCCCAUUCCCUCUCCCCCUUUAUGUGCUGAGCUUUAACUUUGGCAUGUAGUUUCCUAAUCACCACUCAGACCCUAAGUUUGACUCCUUAGAGUCUGCUCUUAUUUGUCAGACCUAAGCAAAGGGUCAGGGGUGUGCCAACCUAUGCCAUGGCUGGGUUUGACCACCCUUUUCUAUGGUUACCCUCUAACUUUGCACUCAUUCCUAGUUCUUAAGCUCUAUCCCCUUUGCUAAGCCAUGCUUAGGGACCCUGGAGUUCCUUCUGAACUUGGAUGCCUGAGGGUUGGUAAUUCCACACUUGCACUAUUCUGUUACAACAUUUACUCUUCAAAGUGUAAGCAUUGAAUGGGCUCUUGAAGCUCCCUGGAACUUUGAAACACUUUGAAUAAGAGAAGUCCUUGGAAUCUUGAAUCCGGAUUUGGUGAAACAAAUUUUAUUGGAUAUUGAGAUUGCAUUAGGCAGUUUGGAUCUAGCUGCAGGUUGUGAUAUAUUUUAAUUACUUUCUUCCUUCUG